GCCGAUGUAGCUCAGUCGGUAGAGCAACGGUUUCGUAAACCGUGGGUCGCAGGUUCGAUUCCUGUCAUCGGCA
Molecule: transfer RNA, 73 nt
Filed under: Cyanobacteriota bacterium
Lineage: Bacteria; Bacillati; Cyanobacteriota
Description: Cyanobacteria bacterium (drinking water metagenome) tRNA-Thr
Rfam family: tRNA
About the family: Transfer RNA (tRNA) molecules are approximately 80 nucleotides in length. Their secondary structure includes four short double-helical elements and three loops (D, anti-codon, and T loops).
Source: RNAcentral